Long non-coding RNA from Portunus trituberculatus (swimming crab), 844 nucleotides. RefSeq lists it as uncharacterized. The transcript is spliced from 4 exons. The record is from RefSeq and is a predicted model, not a curated record. Lineage: Eukaryota; Metazoa; Arthropoda; Malacostraca; Decapoda; Portunidae.
CGGCCGUCGGCUGGGCAUCACCCUGGGAUACGCCACUACCCUUGUGUGCUGCAGACACCACCAACACCACCACUACCACUACUGCCACUCCCUCUUCGUGCACGCUGGACCCUUCAUAAAUUCUGACGGCCGCCCGGGGUUGUCGAGAUCAAAGGACGAGGAGGCGCAAAGAUGACGCAAGAUGGUGUUUCCGAAGAGCAGUGACAGACGACGGUGAUGAAGCCUCCGAGGAACUGCAUGUGGUGUAUGGUGAUCGUGGUGGUGAUAGUGGUGAUGGUGGUUAGGAGCAAUAUUGGUGAUAGUAAUGGUGAUUGUAGUGGUGAUAGGUCGUUAGGAGCAAUAUUGGUGAUAAUAAUAGUGGCAGAAUUGGUGAUCGUGGUGGUGAUAGUGGUGAUGGUGGUUAUGAGCAAUAUUGGUGAUAGUAAUGGUGGUAGAAAUGGUGAUCGUGGUGGUGAUAGGUCGUUAAGGGCAAUACUGGUGAUAGUAAUGUGGUAGAAAUGGUGAUCGUGGUGGUGAUAAUGGUGAUGGUGGUUAUGAGCAAUAUUGGUGAUAAUAAUGGUGGUAGAAAUGGUGAUGUUAAAGGUUAGGUUGACAGUGACUAUUAAUGAAUUUUGGUGAUAGUGGUGGUGAUCAGGAAUGGUGGUAGAAGUAGUGGUGUUGAAAGGUUCAGUUGAUAGUGAUGAGUAAAUUUUGGUUAUGAGUGUUGUUGUUGGUGGUGAUGGCAGAGGUAGUAACAGUAAUGGCGCUAACAAUGGUGACUGAGGCGAUGAUAACAUAAUAAUAACAACACUAAAACAAAAGAAACACGAACAAUAACGAAUAAUGAAUAACUGAAUAACAACAA